Molecule: unclassified non-coding RNA, 172 nt
Filed under: uncultured Rozellomycota
Lineage: Eukaryota; Fungi; Rozellomycota
Description: uncultured Cryptomycota sequence contains ITS1
Source: RNAcentral
GUGAAAUUUGGGCGUCUCUUCCAUAGAGAGCCUGUCUUCCACAUUUAACCCUGUGCACUUGGCGCUAGUCUCGUGCGCUUGUCAGUCGGGCUCAGUUUCCUUUGGAAGCCGGGCCGGCGAAAACCUUUUUUAACGCAAGUUGAUGAAUGUAACAUAAAAACCAAACCAAAUA